UCCUGGUGGCUCAGAUGGUAAAGAAUCUGCCUGCAGUGCAGGAGACCCAGGUUUGAUCCCUGGGUCAGGAA
RNAcentral lists this transfer RNA (71 nucleotides) under Bos taurus (domestic cattle). It matches the Rfam family "tRNA". From Rfam's summary of the family: Transfer RNA (tRNA) molecules are approximately 80 nucleotides in length. Their secondary structure includes four short double-helical elements and three loops (D, anti-codon, and T loops). RNAcentral also lists the same sequence under 5 other names. The record is from Rfam by way of RNAcentral. Lineage: Eukaryota; Metazoa; Chordata; Mammalia; Artiodactyla; Bovidae.